Molecule: ribosomal RNA, 505 nt
Filed under: uncultured bacterium
Lineage: Bacteria
Description: partial 16S ribosomal RNA
Rfam family: Bacterial small subunit ribosomal RNA
Source: RNAcentral
GACGAACGCUGGCGGCGUGCCUAAUACAUGCAAGUAGAACGCACAGUUUAUACCGUAGCUUGCUACACCAUAGACUGUGAGUUGCGAACGGGUGAGUAACGCGUAGGUAACCUGCCUGGUAGCGGGGGAUAACUAUUGGAAACGAUAGCUAAUACCGCAUAAUAUUAAUUAUUGCAUGAUAAUUAAUUGAAAGGUGCAAUUGCACCACUACCAGAUGGACCUGCGUUGUAUUAGCUAGUAGGUGAGGUAACGGCUCACCUAGGCGACGAUACAUAGCCGACCUGAGAGGGUGAUCGGCCACACUGGGACUGAGACACGGCCCAGACUCCUACGGGAGGCAGCAGUAGGGAAUCUUCGGCAAUGGACGAAAGUCUGACCGAGCAACGCCGCGUGAGUGAAGAAGGGUUUCGGAUCGUAAAGCUCUGUUGUAAGAGAAGAACGGGUGUGAGAGUGGAGAGUUCACACUGUGACGGUAUCUUACCAGAAAGGGACGGCUAACUACGUG